GCUAUCAACUCAGAGAGAUCGAAGAAGAGGUCGUGUUGGGGUGUGGAGGCCACACUUAGAAAGCAUAUCUGAGACGCCAAAUGAUUCUUGAUGGAGAUUCUUGAUGAGUUUGUAAUAAGCUAUGAUUUUUCUUUCUUUGUGAUUCAUUUCCAUUAGGGUUCAAGAACUGUUUAUUAUAUUCAUUUGCCUUUUCUUUCCGUGCCCUUCUCUUUCUCUUUCAAUUUUAUCUCUUUCAAUUUCCCCUUUUAGUGUACAUAGAGGCAUAGAGGGGAAAAAAAAUUCAAAAGACGGGUUAAGGUUUGGAAAUUGAUGGUGGUGGUGAUGAUGAUCAUGAAACUAAACAGUUGUGGUUGGAUCUUGCUACUGCACAUAUGAUCAAGGCCAUAAGUAAUUAUUUUGAGAGCUUCAUUCAAGUGUGCCUUUUAAUUAGUGCAGAAAUUCAUGAAGAAAGCAAUAUGAUUUUUGUAAUAAUAAUUACAAAUGUUCUUAAUUUAUUUGCAAUAAUUAAGGAAGAUAUAAUGUUACUGAGAGGGAUCCCACUACUACUGUACGCAGUACCAAGC
This 563-nucleotide unclassified non-coding RNA is filed under the name Hevea brasiliensis (rubber tree). The record is from RNAcentral. Lineage: Eukaryota; Viridiplantae; Streptophyta; Magnoliopsida; Malpighiales; Euphorbiaceae.